RNAcentral lists this ribosomal RNA (253 nucleotides) under uncultured bacterium. RNAcentral's name for it is "partial 16S ribosomal RNA". It matches the Rfam family "Bacterial small subunit ribosomal RNA", at positions 524 to 776 of the family's 1533-position model. The record is from RNAcentral.
UACGUAGGGUGCAAGCGUUGUCCGGAAUUAUUGGGCGUAAAGAGCUCGUAGGCGGUUUGUCGCGUCGGCUGUGAAAUCCCGAGGCUCAACUCCGGGCCUGCAGUCGAUACGGGCGGACUAGAGUUCGGCAGGGGAGACUGGAAUUCCUGGUGUAGCGGUGAAAUGCGCAGAUAUCAGGAGGAACACCGGUGGCGAAGGCGGGUCUCUGGGCCGAUACUGACGCUGAGGAGCGAAAGCGUGGGGAGCGAACAGG